GAUGAACGCUGGCGGCGUGCCUAAUACAUGCAAGUCGAGCGAACAGACGAGGAGCUUGCUCCUCUGACGUUAGCGGCGGACGGGUGAGUGACACGUGGAUAACCUACCUAUAAGACUGGGAUAACUUCGGGAAACCGGAGCUAAUACCGGAUAAUAUAUUGAACCGCAUGGUUCAAUAGUGAAAGACGGUUUUGCUGUCACUUAUAGAUGGAUCCGCGCCGCAUUAGCUAGUUGGUAAGGUAACGGCUUACCAAGGCAACGAUGCGUAGCCGACCUGAGAGGGUGAUCGGCCACACUGGAACUGAGACACGGUCCAGACUCCUACGGGAGGCAGCAGUAGGGAAUCUUCCGCAAUGGGCGAAAGCUUGACGGAGCAACGCCGCGUGAGUGAUGAAGGUCUUCGGAUCGUAAAACUCUGUUAUUAGGGAAGAACAAAUGUGUAAGUAACUAUGCACGUCUUGACGGUACCUAAUCAGAAAGCCACGGCUAACUACGU
Molecule: ribosomal RNA, 496 nt
Filed under: uncultured bacterium
Lineage: Bacteria
Description: partial 16S ribosomal RNA
Rfam family: Bacterial small subunit ribosomal RNA
Source: RNAcentral